AUUGAACGCUGGCGGCAUGCCUUACACAUGCAAGUCGAACGGCAGCACGGGAGCUUGCUCCUGGUGGCGAGUGGCGAACGGGUGAGUAAUGCAUCGGAACGUGCCCUGAAGUGGGGGAUAACGUAGCGAAAGUUACGCUAAUACCGCAUAUUCUGUGAGCAGGAAAGCAGGGGAUCUUCGGACCUUGCGCUUUUGGAGCGGCCGAUGUCGGAUUAGCUAGUUGGUGGGGUAAAGGCCCACCAAGGCGACGAUCCGUAGCGGGUCUGAGAGGAUGAUCCGCCACACUGGAACUGAGACACGGUCCAGACUCCUACGGGAGGCAGCAGUGGGGAAUUUUGGGACAAUGGGCGCAAGCCUGAUCCAGCCAUGCCGCGUGCGGGAAGAAGGCCUUCGGU
This 395-nucleotide ribosomal RNA is filed under the name uncultured bacterium. RNAcentral's name for it is "bacterial SSU rRNA". It matches the Rfam family "Bacterial small subunit ribosomal RNA", at positions 30 to 422 of the family's 1533-position model. The record is from RNAcentral.